This is a transfer RNA of Sistotremastrum niveocremeum HHB9708, 83 nucleotides long. It matches the Rfam family "tRNA". Rfam says of the family: Transfer RNA (tRNA) molecules are approximately 80 nucleotides in length. Their secondary structure includes four short double-helical elements and three loops (D, anti-codon, and T loops). NCBI's taxonomy places the organism in Eukaryota, Fungi, Basidiomycota, Agaricomycetes, Sistotremastrales, Sistotremastraceae. The record is from Rfam.
UCCUCUGUAGUCUAACGGCUAUGAUACCGGUUUUUCAAGAUACUUGACCACCGGCGGCCCGGGUUCGACUCCCGGCAGGGGAA